UUUUAAUUAAAUAAAAAUUAUAUUUUAACUCCUGAUGUUGUGAGCUUUGCAUGUGUACUUUUGUUUCAAAUAAAUUUCACCGGUGACUAAGACUGUAAUUUUAGGCCAGACACACGGGUUGCCGGAUCCACUUCAAAAGUAUGUCAAUAUUACAAUGCUUCUCACCAUUUUUAAAUGCCUCGAAUGAGUUCCAAGUGUCAGAAUUAUUGUAGGUAAAUAUCCCAACUCCAAAUUCUCCUUUUUACCUAAUGUUGAGUUUAAAAUAAAAAUUCAUAAAAUAUUCGU
This 285-nucleotide unclassified non-coding RNA is filed under the name Hevea brasiliensis (rubber tree). The record is from RNAcentral. Lineage: Eukaryota; Viridiplantae; Streptophyta; Magnoliopsida; Malpighiales; Euphorbiaceae.